GAUGAACGCUGGCGGCGUGCCUAAUACAUGCAAGUCGAGCGAACAGACGAGGAGCUUGCUCCUCUGACGUUAGCGGCGGACGGGUGAGUAACACGUGGAUAACCUACCUAUAAGACUGGGAUAACUUCGGGAAACCGGAGCUAAUACCGGAUAAUAUAUUGAACCGCAUGGUUCAAUAGUGAAAGACGGUUUUGCUGUCACUUAUAGAUGGAUCCGCGCCGCAUUAGCUAGUUGGUAAGGUAACGGCUUACCAAGGCGACGAUGCGUAGCCGACCUGAGAGGGAGAGCGGCCACAGUGGAAAUGAGACACGGACGAGACUCCUACGGGAGGCAGCAGUAGGGAAUCUUCGGCAAUGGGCGAAGGCCUGACGGAGCAACGCCGCGUGAGUGAUGAAGGUCGUCGGAUCGUAAAACUCUGUUAUUAGGGAAGAACAAAUGUGUAAGUAACUAUGCACGUCUUGACGGUACCUAAUCAGAAAGCCACGGCUAACU
This 492-nucleotide ribosomal RNA is filed under the name uncultured bacterium. Its description in RNAcentral is "partial 16S ribosomal RNA". It matches the Rfam family "Bacterial small subunit ribosomal RNA", at positions 28 to 502 of the family's 1533-position model. The record is from RNAcentral.